AAGAGGAGCCAUAGGAAUUCCCUGAAAACAGCUUACAUCAGAAGAUAUGCAUACCCAAAUUCUCAUCAGCAACAAGAAAACAUGCAUGAAUGCCACCAUUCAACAAGAAGCAAAAAAUUAUAACAUGACAAACUCCCACAGACAUCCUAGUGGAAAGCAGCUCUGAAAACCAAUGAAAACAAGUUACCAAUCAAUUCUAAAACAAUAAAUAAAU
Molecule: unclassified non-coding RNA, 214 nt
Filed under: Hevea brasiliensis (rubber tree)
Lineage: Eukaryota; Viridiplantae; Streptophyta; Magnoliopsida; Malpighiales; Euphorbiaceae
Source: RNAcentral